AGAGAGAGUGUUCUGGGAUGUGGUUGAGAAGAUUUUUGUCACUUUUUGCGAGCAUGAUUGAUGUUUGAUCAACUUUAAAAGACGAUCUUUCCUUGUUUUUGCACCAAGGAGGAAGCUUUGGAAUGUGUUUCUGUGGUGUCAGGGCUAUUGAUUAAUUUAGAUUCCAGCAUUUUUGAUUUGGUUUUAUUGCUGACAUGAAGUGUUUAAAUGCACAGGAAGGUGAUUCUAUGUUAACCGACAGAGUCUGGGAUGCACUUGUGAAGGCGUUUACUAGCCAAAUGAAGUCUGCAUUCACAGCUUCGAGUUUUGUAAAAGAAAUAUUCACCGUGGGAUAUCCGAAGCUCGUGUUUAUGAUUGAAAAUCUUCUUGAAAGAAUAUCUCGCGACACCGAUGUGAAAGGAGUGUUACCUGCCAUUGAUUCAGAAAGGAAAGAACAAAUGGUUUCAUGCAUUGCAAUAUUCCAGACUGCUUUCUUAUCACUAUGCUUUGGCCGGUUGUCAGAUCUUGUGAACUCGAUAUUCCCUAUGUCUAGCCGCGGGAGUUUACCUUCGAAAGAACAGAUCUCACAGGUACUAUCACACAUUCAAGAAGAGAUUGAGGCUGUUCAUCCAGAUGGUCGUUUGACUCUUCUAGUCUUGCGUGAGAUAGGCAAGGCCCUUAGUAACCUAGCUCAACGAGCUGAGUGCCAGGUAUCUUCAACUUCUUCGAUCUUCUAUUUUUCUUCUCAAUUGGUGGUUAUUGGUAUCUAAUACUAAGUAUGGAUUCUAUUAAGUCCCUAGAGUAUGGCAUCAAAUUCUGCUUGAGUACAAUGCAUAUUCAUUACUUACGAAUGCAUAAGGUUGCAUGGAAAUGUAAAUGGUAGAAUGUCAUAAUAUCCUUGUAACAAACCAGACAGAAAUGAAGGAAAACAUUAGCCUCUGCUAUGCGUAUAUAUACGUGUUAGCUGAUAUAAUAAUCAGGGUUAACCAGUAAAGAGUUAGACCAGUAUGUAUGCUUUUAUGUUUGACAUUUAACGCAGCUUUAUUUAAAUGGCAGAUUUCUACAGGCCCUGAGACGCGCCAGAUAACAGGUCCUGCAACUUCAACACAGAUCAGGAACUUCACAUUAUGUCAGCAUCUGCAAGGAAUCCACACGCAUAUCUCAUCCAUGGUAGCAGACCUACCCAGUAUCGCUUCUGAUGUAUUGUCUCAUUGUCUGAGUGCGAUAUAUGUUGCGGCAUGCGACCCAGUUACACCAUUGUUCAAAGCAAUGCAAGACCAGCUCGAGUCAUGCAUUCUUCAAAUCCAUGACCAAAACUUUGGUGUUGACGACGCUGCCUUGGACAACAACACCUCCCCGUACAUGGAGGAGUUGCAGAGAUCGAUUCUUCACUUCCGCAAGGAGUUCCUAUCAAGACUAUUGCCUUCCGCAGCAACGGCUAACACUGCAGGGACAGAAUCAAUCUGCACUAGACUCGCAAGAGAAAUGGCUUCAAGGGUUCUGAUCUUCUACAUCAGGCACGCUUCCCUUGUGCGGCCACUAUCAGAAUGGGGAAAACUCAGGAUGGCUAGAGACAUGGCCGAGCUGGAACUAGCGGUAGGACAGAAUCUGUUCCCUGUGGAACAACUCGGUGCACCGUACAGAGCUCUCAGAGCAUUUAGGCCACUGGUUUUCCUGGAAACAUCUCAAGUUGGAUCAUCCCCUCUGAUCCAGGAUCUACCACCGAGCAUCGUUCUCCAUCAUCUCUACACGAGAGGCCCAGAUGAGUUAGAGACACCGAUGCAGAAGAACAGAUUGAGUCCUAAGCAGUACUCACUGUGGCUUGAUAGCCAAGGAGAGGAUCAGAUCUGGAAAGGGAUAAAAGCGACUUUGGAUGACUAUGCAGUGAAGAUCAGGUCGAGAGGUGACAAAGAGUUCAGUCCAGUUUAUCCUCUAAUGCUUCAAAUUGGAUCGUCUUUGACACAAUAAGUCUUUUUUUCAAGGCUUUUUGAGUUCUCUGGCUGGUCGAAUCAAUAAUAUUUUUUUGUUGUCUCAAGGAGUUUUCUACAGUUUAUAGCGACCAUAUCUCACAAAUAUGUCAUGUAAAUUCAGAUUCAUACAUCAUGCCAUGGUUUGGUGUGUUUCAGUAGAAGAGUUUUUGUUUUGUUUGAAGAAGCACUCUUAAGGGAGAUUCAUCGAUCAUAUAUAUUCAAACCAAAAGAGUAUUUACAUGGAAGAAAGCAUAUAUACAACAAAACCCUGCAACUAUCUAUUAGGAACCUCCUCUUCUUCUUCUCUCUCACUCUCUCUCUCUCUCUCUAUUACAAAAGCGAACAUAGAUCAAUUCCCAACGGAAAUAGAUCUCUCUCCUAAACCGAGAGGAGAACGUGAACGUUGACGCCUCGUGAACUCGCCAAGGAGCCUCCUCAUCUCCGGCUGCUGCAGCGAUGGUUGACUUAUCUUCUCAAACUCUCUUUUUAUCUUCACCACCUGGCUAUGUUUCGGACCAUCCUCGCUUCCUUUAUUGGUCUUGUUCUCCAUAUUUCAGCACAAACCUGCGACAAAACGGCUCUGAAACAAAGAACUUGUUGUUUAUAACUUGUGUUGAGGACACGAGUUGUGUGUUAAGUAGAAGCGAAGACAGAGAACUAAAUCUAUGUGGGUUAUCUGAUUUUGAGAUAUUUAUUACAGAGGAGACGACUCUUUCUUUAUCUUAUGUCUUUGUUUAUAAACAAACGUGAAGAAAGGGAGAAGGACGGUGUCUUCGGUGGUUACGUGUCAGAAACACUGAAACACUCGUGACGAUUUUCUUACGCAAUUCUAUAAAAUUUUGACCUUUUUUAUUUUAACGAAAGAUUGAUGAUAAUUCAUAGAAAAUUGAGGAAAGAGUCGGCUUUUGAACGUUGAGACUUGAGAGACCAAAAAGGCUGCCAUGUGGGCGCAAAUCGUUGGUCAAAUUAGAACAUUCUAGUGGAUAUCCUUUUGUAGACCAUUUCCUCUUAAUCAGUCGUUAAUCGUUACGGCAAAGAAAGACUCGUGUUCCUUUUUUUGGCACCAAGGAACGGGACCACUUACUCAAUAAUGAUGGGCUUUUAGGAUUAGAGUGGUUGAAACAUUGUGGAAAUUAAAUAACUGAUACAUUUGCCGUUUGAUGUUGUUCAUUACCCGUGAACAAAAAACGGAACAUUAAUUUGGAAGCAUAGUGAUGAUUCAGAGAAGCUUUAUUAAAAAAAAUAUUGGGUCGGAUUCAGCUUCAACUUGGAUCAUCCACAGCAAGAAGAGGUAUGUCCAUUACUCUUGAUUCCCAAUUUGUUACGUACUAUGUUCUUAAUUUUAUUUAAGAUUUCUAUUUCUUCAUUUAGACUAUCAUUUAGGAUUUUCCUUUCUUGGUAGCUAGCUUUCAUCUCUUUCGAUGUUCUGGUUGUUAUCUUGAGAUGUAUCCACCAUUCUGGCUAGGUUUGAAAUUGCAUCCAUAAACUCAUUCAAAACCGCUUGUAUUAAUUAUAUACCAUCUAAGCUUUUGCACAAAAUAUUUUUAUUUAAUGCAUCUAAUUGCCAUUAUAUUCGCAUUUUAGUCAUAUUUUGAGGGGUUGGUCAUUAGUUCGGACCAAAAUUGAUAAUGUUAACAACAAAAGAAAACGAGUAUAACCAAGAGCAAUGAAACUGCCUUUGUUCACCAACUACUCAUCCUGCUGUCUUGUGAAUAUAGCUCGGAAAUUUGGGGUUUAGUUCUGUCAAGACUGUUAGAGUAAACUUGAAGAGCAAGUUAUCCAAUUCCUAACUAAGUUGUGUUUAGGAAUAAUAAGUGAUUUUAGGAAAUAUUCUAUUUUGUAGUUCUAUUAGGUUUAAGAGUUAUCUAUUCCUAUAUAAGGAGUUGUUAAAGUUGUAGCAUCCCUUAAGAGAUUGUGAGCUUUAGUUUUGAGUUAUUUUCUAAAGCAAUAAGAGAAGAAGUUAUUUUGGUGAUCUUAUUAUCUAAGGCAUUCAAACAAUAUUUGGUAGCAGAGCUAAGAAAACCAGCGAUCCAAAGCAAAGAGGUUCGAAUACGAAGAUAGUUGAUCAUGGGAGACAUCGUUCCAGUUACUCGACCUAAGGAGAUAAGCACAUCAACGAUACAAUGCCCUAUGCUUAAUUCUACAAACUAUACUGUUUGGGCGUUAAGAAUGAGGGUUCUUCUAAAAAUCCACAAGGCCUGGGAAGUUGUGGAAACCGGAUCAGACGAUGGAGAGAAAAACGACAUAGCAAUGGGCCUCAUCUUCCAAUCCAUACCCGAAACGCUUAUCUUACAACUCGGAGAGUUAGAUACAGCGAAGAAGGUUUGGGACGCAGUCAAAACGAGGAACGCAGGAGCAGAGAGUCAGGGAAGCACGCUUACAAACCCUAAUGGCUGACUUUGAUCGAUUGAAGAUGAAGGACACCGAAACCAUAGAUGAAUACAGCGGCAAGCUGGCCGAAAUCUGUUCAAAGUCUGCAGCCUUGGGAACAAAUUUUGAAGAAUCUAAGGUGGUAAAGAAGUUUCUCAAGAGUAUUCCUCGGAAGAAAUACAUACACAUAGUAGCAUCGCUUGAACAAGUACUCGACCUUAAUGCUACAAGCUUCGAGGAUAUCGUAGGACGUCUAAAGGCUUAUGAAGAACGAAUCCAUGAAGAGGAAGAGGAAACUCAAGAGAAUCAGAACAAACUAAUGUAUGCGAAUACAGAAGCACAGACAGAUCGGAACUAUUCCAAUGAAAAUAGAAGCAGAGGUCGAGGAGGACGAUUCUAUAACAGAGGAAGAGGACGAGGAAGGGCAAACGAGGCAAGGGACUUGUCAAAGAUAGUGUGCUACAGGUGUGACAAGUCAGGGCACUUCGCCUCAAAUUGCCCAGACAGGCUCUUUAAGUUACAAGAAGCACAAGAAACCGAUGCAGAUGAUACUCACGAAGCAGAGAAGCUAAUGGUUCAUGAAGUGGUGUUCCUUAACGAGAAGAACGUGAAACCAAGCAACUUCGAAACUUCAAGUGAUGAUGAAAAUAUAUGGUACUUAGACAAUGGAGCUAGCAAUCACAUGACAGGAAACCGAAGCUACUUCGCUAAGAUUGAUGAUAAAAUCACAGGGAAAGUAAGAUUUGGAGAUGACUCUCGCGUUGACAUCAAAGGAAAAGGCUCAAUAUUAUUUGUGACUAAAGAUGGGGAACGAAAAGUACUAGCUGAUGUCUACUUUAUACCAGAUCUCAAGAGCAACAUCAUCAGCUUAGGACAGGCUACAGAAUCGGGUUGUGAUGUUAGAAUGAAAGAUGAAUACUUAACCUUGGCCGAUCAGGAUGGUAAAGUGUUGGUGAAGGCAACAAGAUCGCGAAACCGGUUGUACAAGGUACGAAUGGAGGUGGAGAAUACAGAGUGUUUACAUAUACAAACAAUAAGUGAUUCAUCUAAGUGGCACGCAAGGUUAGGACACGUCGGUAUAGAGACAAUGAAGACUAUGGUCAAGGAGGACUUGGUCAUUGGUUUACCGAGUCUAAAAGUCGAGAAAGAGACUUGUCAAUCGUGUUUACUUGGCAAGCAUAUCAAGAAAUCUUUUCCCCAAGCAACUACGUAUCGAGCAACACGUACACUCGAACUCAUUCACGGAGAUCUGUGUGGACCCAUUACACCUGCAACUGCAACACAAAACUGAUACAUAUUCGUCUUAAUUGAUGAUUAUUCCAGGUAUAUGUGGUCGAUUCUCUUGAAAGAAAAGGGUGAAGCUUACAGCAGAUUCAAGAAAUUCAAAGGAAUAGUUGAACAAGAGACAGGAACAAAGAUCAAGACGUUCCAAACUGAUCGUGGUGGAGAGUUCACAUCCCAAGAAUUUCAAGAAUUCUGCGAAAACACAGGGAUACAAAGACACUUGACUGCACCGUAUAGUCCACAACAAAACGAGGUCGUAGAAAGGCGAAACAGAACUCUUUUAGAGAUGACAAGGAGCAUGAUGAAGCAUAUGAAAGUGCCAAACUAUUUAUGGGGAGAAGCAGUAAGACAUGCUACAUAUCUCAUAAAUAGAGUUGCAACAAAAACAUUGAGCUUACAAACACCAUAUGAAGCUUUCAAGGGGAGAAAUCCUAAUAUCGAACAUCAGCGAGUUUUUGGUGGCAUCGGGUAUACUAAGAUGUCAGUACCUCAUCUUAAAAAAUUGGAUGAUAGAUCUCAAGUACUGGUUCAUCUGGGAACUGAACCAGGUUCAAAGGCUUACCGAUUGCUAAAUCCAAAGACCAAGAGGAUAGUGGUAAGCAGAGAUGUCAUCUUUGAUGAAAGAAGAAGCUGGAAGUGGAGCUUGUUGUAUUGUAUCCCCACACGAGGUCACUUUAGUAAAUAUAUCUAGGUGGAGCUCGGAGAUUCUUGUUAAAAUAGAGGUGAGAUCGAUGUGAAUAUUUCGGGGUUUUUUGGACGAGGUCAACUAAGCGAGGUAAGAGUUAUGAUUAUAAGUCUCGAGAAUUUUUGUCUCUAUUUCAGAUUAUGGAUUCCGUAAUAAAUGAAGCUACAGGGCUAUUUAUAGUGGUCAAAUUAGGUUACAUCUCGGUCAGAGUAUCUUGGGCGGCCGGGUAGAUAGACCUGAACGACCGUCUAUCGGAAUGUCUCGCUGGCGAGCUGUUUCAUCAACGUCGACGUGGCGAGCUGCUCCUUUGUUAUGGGAAGCUCAUCUCUUCGAACGACCUCGUUUUGGAUUUAUGAAUGGGCUUGUUAUUCUUUGAGCUCGUUGGGCCUCUCCAAUUUGCUAACGGGCCUGGUUAAAAUUACAAAAGAGGGCUGUGCUCAGCCCACCUACAACAAUUGUCUCCCCCCAGUCCGUUGAUGGAGAUGUUACUUCGAUAUUCAACGCAUCGAGCCAGAGAAUUUUCAUUUCUUUGAACCUCGAUAUCGAUGUGGAGUUAUCGGGGUCGAGGUGAUACUUGGGAAGAGCAAAGAGCAACGGUCGACUUGGAAAGUGAAGAGUUGCGAAAAGCAACGAUCGUCUUGGGAAGUUAAGAGUCGCAAAAAGCAACAGUCGACUUAGGUAGUGAAGAGUCGCGAGUGGGAGCGUGAUUUUCGGGAAGCGCAUGGAAUCCGCCACUAAAUAAGAUACUGGGAAGCGUCCGGAUCAUGAUUACCUUCCUCGGUAACCGCUGUCUUUUCUUCCUUAUAUAUUCUGCUCUCCCUCUCUUCUUCUCAUUUUCUUCUCCGUUCACAAAAGGUAACCUUGCUCUCCCUUCUCUCUAGAAUUCCUUUCUCUCUCUAGAACUCGUUCUUUUGUCAUUUUAUUUCUGCCGCUAUUCGAUAUCGAAUAAUAUCUUCGGGGGGUCAGCGCAUCGAGUCGAGUUUAGAAUCGGGCUCUAGAUCCGAACAGGAAGCUUCUCGGAGUGCGAGCUCUUCUCCUGAGAUGUUUUCGAGGUCUGAUACUCAAUCAGAUCGAGGAGAGUCUCCAUUGCUGGAGUUGGCGGAUCGAGUUUGUUCUGAUGGGGCAUCUCCGUGAGGGGAAUCUACGGAUCUUCAAAUGGUUCCUCUGGUGGAGCGUGAUGGCGAGGUUACUGAGCACGCCGAAGAAGAGGUUUGUGAAGGGGGCGAGGAGGAGGAUGAAGGCGAGGAAGAGGAACAAAGCGAGGAAGAAGAACAAGGCGAGGAAGAAGAACAAGGCGGGGAAGCCAGACCUCGACGAAAAGGUUCCAAGCGCAAGGGAGCCAUCAAGAAUCGGUUAGUUAACAUUCCGUCUCAGAUGACGGCUCAACGCCUCGAAGAGUUUCGGUUACGAUACGGUUUUUGAGGUGAAUUGAUGGCGCCAGGACCUGAGGAUCGACCAUGGCGGGCUCUGGAGGGCUGGGUUACGCUUUACGAGGCGUGGUUCAGUCUCUGUCAUCUUUGGGUGCCUUUGCCGAGGCUGUUGACCGAUUACGUCGAUCGGAGGUGUAUCGCUUUCUCGCAGAUUCUUCCUGCAGGGAUCCGGUUUAUGGUCGCGACUCUGUUGUUUGGGAGCGAGGUCGGGGUUGAUGUCGACUGGCGCUUCUUCGAGGAGAUGACUACCGUUCAGAAGAACAAGUCGAUCCCAGGCACGUAUACGAUAAAGGCCAGGAAAGAUUGUUCCCUGGUUUACCCUGUCAACAGGACGUCGAGCUGGGAGGCGUCCUUCUUUUAUGCAAAGGUGGAUGAGGCGCUGGUAGUUGAUACGACCAGAGACUUUAGGAACGACUGGAGCAGUAGCAUCGGUAGAUCGCUAAUUCGGUCAUAUCUCGAGUUUUUCCUUUCUUUUAUUGAUGUUUCUUCGUUUUUCGCAGAGCGAAACGUCCAGCUCGAAGCUUUCCCGGAGAAUUUUCACGUGAAUAUUCAGAUCAGGGCCGUUGGGAUACAGCAUUGGCCUGAUAUACAUCGUCGAAGAGUCGAGGCAGCCAUUACCCGUAUCACAAACGGUAGGUUCGAUGUCAUCAGCGUUUCCUUUGUAAUUUACGUCGUCUAACAUGUAAAUUAUUAUUUUGUUCCAGCUAGCUUGAGGAGGGAAAACCUUCUAAGGGAGAGGGCGAUUGAGAUGUCUCCGAUUCAAGUGAAUGCGCCUAGUCUCGCUGCGCGGAUCAGAGCUAGUCGUGGGAGCGGGGGAAAUAGAAAUCAGCAAUCCUCUGCUCAAUUGGGUUGCUUGACCCAAACGACGGUACGUCGAGGGACUGACGAGGUAGAGGUUCAGCAAGGCGGCGACCUUGCCCAGGACCAUGCUCAGACGAACGAGCUCGAAGUGGCGGUUCAGGAGGAAAGUCAGCCGGUCGCCGAGGAAGCCGAUGAAACUGAGAGGCGCGCUAGGAGGGAGGCGAAGAAGUUGAAAGGAAAAGAGAAGAAGAAAAAGGAAAAGGAAGAGGCCGAGACCGCACGGCUUGCUGAGGAGGCAAGACAAGUCGAGGUCAACGAAGCGGCUGCGAAGGAGGGAACGAGGAAGAGAUCCUCUGAGGAGGCAGGUGUAGGUGAUGAUCGCGAGGAGCCUGGUAAGAGGCUUCAGGUCGGUCCCUCUGGUGACGAUAAGGUUCCCGAGGUCGAUUGGAGCUUCAAAUUCGAAUACCCCGAAUCUGGGGCACCCUUCGUCAACAAUGCCGACAAAUGUGCCGAGCUCUUCGGCUUGAUAAGGGGAUCGACUUUCCGAAGUUCCUGCUGGUGACGACGCGAUUUUCAAGGACAUGGCGGGCUUCGCCUUUAAGGUAUAUCACAAUUCAGAGUUCAUUUUUGCAUAUUUAUGGGUUUACUCUAAUAUGGAUAUAUACUUUUCUUAUCAGUUCAUCGCGAGCUGCAACCGCGCGCGAGGUCGAUAUCAUCGUACGAUUCGAGCUGCUGCUACGAAGAUUCGUAACGCUCAGUCCGCUGGACAAAGAGCCGUGGAAGAGCGGGAUGCCGCGAUUGCUCGGCGAAAGUCGGCUGAAGAGAAGUGGCAGGUCGAAAAAAGACGCGCUGUGCAGUUGGAAGAAGGUGUGAAGACAUUGAUCGAUAAGAUCGAGGAGCUGAAGUUGGAGAAUCAGGAUCUGAUCAGCAAUCUUCAAACGGUUAACGAGGCGAAGAUUCAGGCUGAGAAGUCGGUUGCGUCUGAAGUAGCUCGCGUCAAGCGACAUGCCGAGGUCGAGUUGAGGGUCGAGCAUGAGGCGACCGUACGUGACUGCGAGCUGAAACUCGAGGGACUUCGCCUAGCUGAUCUGCAGGAAGGUGACUUGCCUCCGCCAUUUCCCGUGACUCCGGACGGUGGUUCAGACCAUGACAACGCUGAAGAUCAAGAGAAUCGCGAGGAUGGCACUCAGCCUGACCACGAGGGAGGCAAUCAGCCUGAAGAAUAGAUCUCACUCGCCUUUUCCUUAUAUGUUAUGGCCUCUUUCUUUUUACUUAUUUUGCCUCGUUUGUAAGGACCCGAUCUAAUCUCAUUAAUGAAUGUUCUUUUUCCGAAGUAUCAGCUCGCAAUUUGAAUCGUAAAAAGAUAAUAGAUACGAGGUAUAUUUAAGUAAAGCAAAACGACUAAUGCGGAUAUCCUCAUCUUAUCAAUUUAAAUGACAAUAGAUUCGAGACGAAAUGCUUGAUACGAGGUAAAUCUUGACCUAAUUAAACAAAACCUACGAAUGAUAGGCGCGAGGUAUGACCUAAGAGGAUAAUGGAUGCGAGUUACGAAAUGCGAGGUGAAACUCGGCUUAAGGGAACGAUAAAUGCGAGGUAUGACUCGGCUUAAGGGAAAAAUAGGUGUGAGGUAUGACUCGGCUUACCCUGUUUUAUUUCAUUAAUCGUGUCCGAGUAGUGAGAAUGAUCUCGACGUAGUUAUUCGGGUGAUUUAAGAAAGGAUGCGAUACUGGUCCCGGCUUAUUCUCUUAUAAUCGUAAAGUUUUUGUUCCUUAGGACUUAUUAAGAGUUUGCAUUGUAGGAAAAUGCGUAUUAGGGGAUCGAACAUCUAGCUAGGAUGUCGAUGUGAAAGAUGUCGAAAUAAAAGAUGUCGAUGUAAAAGUUGGUAUAAACAAAAUUUUAUUAAUAGCUGUACCUCGUGAGAAGUUGCCUACGUACCCAACAAACUGGGAUCAAGCCGAUCGUAGUUCACAUUCGAGAUUUAGCUUGACCGAGUAUAGCUCGGUGAGCGUCUUUUUUUUUUUUUUUUUUUUUAGUAGUAAUACCGCUUUAUGUUCAUCGAGUUCCACGAUCGCGGUUUCAUUUCGCCAUCCAUCGUCAUCAGCUCGUAAACGCCAGGUUUUACAACGUUGGUGAUUUGGUAGGGGCCUUCCCACUUUGCGCCCAGUUUUCCGGUGCGGUAUUCUUCGGUAUUCUCGAACACCUUUCGAAGGACGAGGUCGCCAGUUUUGAAGUGCCUACCUUUCACUCGUUUGUUGUAAUAGCGUGAGAUUUACUGCUGAUAGUUUUGCAUACGUAAUAGGGCGUGAUCUAGCUCCUCCUCGAGCAUGUCGAGGCUAUCUUUCAUCAUCCUUCUGUUCCUUUUACCGUCUUGUGUCAACAUCGUUCUGCGUAUGGUUGGUAGACUGACCUCAGUAGGAGCUAAAGCUUCCAUGCCGUGAGACAACGAGAAAGGAGUUUUAUUCGUCGACCGUCGCGGUGUAGUUCGAUGUGACCAUAGGACUCCGUCCAGUUCGUCUGCCCAUAAGCCUUUCUUAUCUUCGAGUCUCUUUUUGAUGCCGUCGAGGAUGGUUUUGUUGGUUGCCUCGGCCUGGCCGUUUCUUUGUGGAUAUCGCGGUGUAGAUUUGUUGAGUCGUAUUCUCCAUUUGGCGCAGAAGUCCUCGAAGACAUCGGAGAUAAAUUGGGGGCCAUUAUCGGUGACAAUCUCGUAAGGUAAUCCGUGGCGGCAGAUGAUGAUCUUUCAAACGAAGUUCUUCACAUCGGUUGCCUUAAUUUUGGCGUAAGAUUAGGCCUCGCCCCAUUUCGUGAAGUAAUCGGUGAUGAUAAGUAUGAAUCGUUUCUGUCGAGAUCGAGGAAGUGGACCUACGAUGUCCAUCGCCCAUCGCAUGAAGGGAUAAGGUGGUGAGGAAGUGGCCAGGAGCUCGGCUGGCGCGUUGAUCAUUGGGGCGUGCCGUUGACAUUGUUCGCAGCGAGCUACAAAUCGAUCACAAUCGGUAAGCAUUGUUGGCCAGAAGUGGCCGUGAUUCUUGAUUUUUAGAGCGAGAGCUCGACCGUUGGAGUGAUUUUCACAUGCUCCUUCGUGUGUUUCUCGCAUGACAUCGAGCGUCUCUUCACCGUGAAGACAAUUGAGCAGGGCGCCUGUUGAGCUCCAACGAUAAAGAUUGCCGUGUGACUGAAUGUAUUUAUCGCUUCGAACUUUUAAGCGCCUCGCUGCCCAUCGGUCGGGUGGGACUUGGCCGUCUGUAAUGUAGAGCAAGAUUUCGAUCCUCCAGUCCUCGGUUGUCGGUUCUUGUUCGGCGGGCUCAUCGACGACCUCGAGGGGAGGUAAUUCGAUGGCGUCUAAUCUGUUUGCUUCGAGUUCUCGAACUGCGCAUACUCCUCGAGGUAGGACGAUGCUGGGGGAAUCGAUGCUUUCGACCGGGAUCACACGCCUUUGAUGUGAUUCAGACGUCGAUGCGAGGGCGGCUAGUGCGUCUGCCGAGGUGUUGUCACUCCUCGGAAUUCUGGUGAGUGAGAAAGAUUCGAAGCGAUCAGUGAGGUUCUUGACGGCUUUAAGAUACAAGUCCAUCCGGUCGUUUCUGGUGUCGUAGUCGCCGCUGUAUUCGCGGGCAACGAGCUCGGAGUCGCAGAAAGCUUCGAUUUUCUUGACCCCGAUACCUUGGGCUAGACGAAGUCCUGCGAGUAAAACCUUGUAUUCUGCUUCAUUAUUCGAGGCUGGAAAUUCGAGCCGGAACGACUGCUCCAAUAUCUCUUUCGUCGGAGACUCUAGUCGGAUGCCAAUACCUGCGCCUCGAGACGAAGAUGAUCCGUCGACGUAUAAGGACCACUUCUCAUCAGGUAGGUCGGUCUGGAUUAGCUCUGGCGGAAGCUCUACUAGAAAAUCCGCGAGGACCUGCGAUUUGGCACUUGUCUUAUUGCGAUACUCAAUAUCAUACUCCGUCAGCUCGACAACCCACUUUGCAAUGCGACGGGACUGGCUCGGGCUGUGCAGUAUCGUUCGAAGUGGUUGAUUGGUCAAGACGACGACUGAAUGGGAUUGAAAGUAGGGUCAUAGCUUUCUGGCGGACAUGAUGACCGCGAGCGCGAGUUUCUCCAAAGUCGGAUACCGUUUUUCUGCGUCGUCUAGAGUUUUACUAACGUAGAAAAUCGGUUUCUGCUCGCCUCGAUCUUCUUUGACUAAAACGCCGCUUACCGCCGAGCUCGACACAGCGAUGUAGAGGUAGAGGGUUUCGCCCGUUUCAGGUUUUGCUAAAAUUGGAGGGCUGGCGAGGUAUUCCUUAAGUUGUUGGAAGGCUUCCUCACAUUUGUUAUCCCACUCGAAACGUUUGUUGCCUCGGAGGAGUUGAUAGAACGGAAGACACUUAUCUAUGGAUCGCGAGAUGAAUCGGUUAAGCGCCGCGAUUCGGCCGGUAAGACGUUGGACCUCGCGAGUGUUGCGAGGUGAUGGGAGAUUGAUUAGGGCAUCGAUCUGCUUCGGAUUUGCCUUGAUUCCUCGUUUAGUGACGAUGUAGCCGAGGAAUUCUCCGGAGGUUACCCCAAAAAUACACUUAGUCGGAUUGAGCUUCAUCUGGUAUUGAUUUAGAACGGUGAAGCAAGCUUGCAGAUAGCCGAUGUGAUCACCGGCGGUGAGUGACUUUACUAGCAUGUGGUUGACUAGUCGUUGGUACGUUGCACCAGCGUUCUUUAAGCCGAACGGCAUUACCUUAUAACAAUAGGUCCCUCGAUCGGUGAUGAAGGACGUCUUCUCACGAUCCUCGGGAUGCAUCGUGAUCUGAUUGUACCCGGAGAAGGCGUCCAUGAAUGACAAGAGCUCGUUGCCUGCAGUUGCCUCGACGAUUCGAUCGAUCUGCGGCAAGGGGAAACUAUCCUUGGAGCGUGCUUUAUUGAGAUCGUGAAGUCUACGCAGAUUCGCCGUUUGCCAUUCUUCUUUUUGACGACAACAGGGUUUGCCAGCCAUUCUGGAUAUUUGACCUCGAUGAUCGAGCCGGCCUUCGACAAACGUUCGACCUCAUCAUUGACGGCCUGCACCUUUUCUGGACCUAACUUCUCCGCUUUUGCUUGAUCGGUUUAAACGUAGGAUCGAUGUUGAGCUCAUGACUUGUUAUUAAGGGAUCGAUCCCAGGCAUAUCGCUUACUGACCAGGCGAAUGUCGAUGCAUUUCGGCGAAAAAGUCGUACGAGCUCAACCUUGAUCUCCUCCUUUAGAUCAGCUCUGAUUCCUAUGCAUCGUUCGGGGUCGCUUUCGUCGAUGUUUACUUGGACGACGAGCUCCUGCUUGGGUCUUUCUUGAGUUGGCAAAUCGGCUUGAGUUACGGGUAAAAUCGUAAGACACGCCUUGGCUGGGAUCAUGGACUUGAAUCGAAGCUUGUGCUCAGCGGCGAAGCAGAGUCUCGAUAUCUCCUGAGAGCCUCAAAUGGUUUUUACCCCGAAAGCGGUUGGGAACUUGAGGCAUUGAUGAUAGGUCGACGGCACUGCCUUCAUGGAUUGUAGCCAGGGCGUUCCCAAAAUUACGUUAUAGAUGGCGGGUUUAUCGACGACGACAAAUUUGACGAGGCGGCUCGUCUUUGCCGCGUAAACUAGGAGCCUGAUCGUCCUGAUCGAGUAGACCGUAUCUCCAUCGAAUCCUGUAAGUGGCUUAACCGAGGACUUGAGGUGAUGGUUCGCCAGUUCCAUUUUGUCAAGCGUUUCUUUGAAAAUCAGGUCGACUGAGCUCCCUGUAUCGACCAGUAUCCAAGAUACUUUGCAAUCUGCGAUUCGCAGCUCGACCACAAGCGGAUCGUUGUGGCAUGUCGACUCCUUUCGUGUCAGCGUCGGUGAAUGUGAUCGCAUCACUAUCGGCGGUCUUGGGGCUUUUGACUUGCCAUUUUUGUGCGAGCAUGACCUGGCGGCCGUACUUUUUUAUCGACCUGACGGAAUCGUUGCACGUCGAUAGGCCUCCCAUGAUAAAGAACACCUUCUUUCGAGAUGCCAGAGGAGUGUCGUCUCGAGGUUGAUUACCUCGGUCUCUCUUUGCAAGAUUUUUGUUGGAUCGCUCGUUCGUUGGGGGAGGAGGUGGAAGUUGCUCAGUGGGAGCCGUAGGUCGAGCUUCGUUGUUUCGCGGCGCGGUGUUUUGGGGCUGGUUUGCUAAUGCGAUCUCCCCCUUUCGAUAUUUGGCGAGCAAAUAGGCCUGUACCUCACGACACAUCGCAGUCGGGUGACCGUACUUGUUGUGAUAGUCGCAGCAAGGUCGUGUCUCCCCACGAUCUCCUCGUUGCCAUGUGUUUAAUUGGUUUUGAUACUGGCGAUUUUGUUGUUGCUGAGUGCUGAUUUUGUACGUCGCUCCUCGGCGAUUGUCACCUCGAUAGUUAUUGUCGAGGUGUUGUCGAGGUUCCUGAUAUUCUUGUUUUGGGAUUUCUUUGUGAGGUUGCUGCUUCGGCGCCGCUUUUGCUGGUGACGCGAUCUCUUUUUCUUCCUCGUCCUCGAUGUAUAAGGUGGCACGGUGAAGCGCGUCUUCGAGAGUUCGGGGUUUGCUGAACUUGAGGCUGUCCCAAAACUUCAAAUCGAUUCGCAGGGCAUUCCGAAGAGCUGGCAGCGAUGCUUCGUCAGUCACGGUGAUCCAGGAAACGAUCACAUUGUUUCUGCCAAUGAAAGACCGAAGGGAUUCUUGGAUAUACAUCAUGUACCUCUUGAGGAAUGCAGUCGACAAUGCUUGGUAGCUGUCAAUCGAGUUCACCUUUAACUUGGAGAACCAGAUGAGGGCCGCACCGCUGAGAUUUUCGACGAACAGUUGGCAAAAGCCUGCAUCUUUCUCCUCGGGAGUGAAUCGUGCUCGGCCCAUUUGAAUGCUGAACGCGGUCAUGAAUUGGCUUGGGUCCGAGUUGCCUGUAUACGUCAGGAGAUUGAACUUCACUUGAGUUCUUAUCGGGAAAUCGGUGAUUCGGGUCGUGAACGGUGUGCUUUGGCUUUCUUUCAAUACACGGUCGAUCUCAGGUGCCGAGCUAGUAGCUUGAUGUACAAGCGAGGUCAUGGCUCGCAAUUUGGACCUCAUUUCGAGCAUUUCUUCGUCUUGCUGUGAGUAUCUUAUUUGAAGCUGACAUGUUUCGUGUUCGGGAGCCCCGAUGUUCACCUCAUCGCAGUUCGAGGUUGGAUGAUUUUCUGUAGUUGGUGGUGCGGGUGAGUCUCCGAAUAAGGCGCGCUGUACGCGCUGAAUUUUUUGGGCUCGUCUCUCUAGGGCUUGGGUCUCUGACGAGUGUAAUACGCUGACUUGAGCUUGACAAGAAAGUUGUGCCGCGGCGAGCUCGUUCAGGCGAGCGCUUGUCUGUUGAUUCAGCUCUUCCAUUCGAGCCAUCACUGUCGCAAAUAAUGUUGCGACGUCAGCAGGAGCUGGUGUGCUUCGGUUUACGUCUUGCGCUUCUGGGUGCGAGGUUGCGUUUUCCACAAGAUUCAUCGUUGGCGAUUGCCUAUUCGAGGUCUCUGGAUUGUUAACCGGUGACGUGUGAAGUCCCUCCUCGGCUGUAGUUGAGAUGGGUAGACUAGCUGUCUCGUUGAUUUGAAUUCCUGACAUUAUCGAGCCCCUCUUUGCGUAGAAAGAAAUCUCUUUGCCCCACGGUGGGCGCCAAUUGUUGUAUUGUAUCCGCACACGAGGUCACUUUAGUAAAUAUAUCUAGGUGGAGCUCGGAGAUUCUUGUUAAAAUAGAGGUGAGAUCGAUGUGAAUAUUUUGGGGUUGUUUGGACGAGGAUAACUAAGCGAGGUAAGAGUUAUGAUUAUAAGUCUCGAGAAUUUUUAUCUCUAUUUCAGAUUACGGAUUCCGUUAUAAAUGAAGUUACAGGGCUAUUUAUAGUGUUCAAAUUAGGUUACAUCUCGGUCAGAGUAGCUUGGGCGGCCGGGUAGAUAGACCUGACCGACCGUCUAUCGGAAUGUCUUGCUUGCGAGCUGUUUCAUCAACGUCGACGUGGCGAGCUGCUCCUUUGUUAUGGGAAGCUCAUCUCUUCGAACGACCUCGUUUUGACUUUAUGAAUGGGCUUGUUAUUCUUUGAGCUCGUUGGGCCUCUCCAAUUUGCUAACGGGCCUGGUUAAAAUUACAAAAAGAGGGUUGUGCUCAGCCCACCUACAACAGAGCUGUUCAAAGGAAACAAGAGACGAUGACACAGGUACUUUCACGCUUCAGUUCGUUGGUUCAAGUAAUCACGACGAUCUCGAAACAGAAACAGAGGAAGACGAAAACAGAGGAAGGGAGGAUACUACGAAUGAUGAGAGUAUCGAAGAAAAGGAGACUAAUGUGCCUGAUUUCGAGAACACGAAGAUUACUGAAGAGGAAACACAAGUUGAACCAGCUCUUAGAAGAUCAAUUAGACAGACAAAGAAACCAGAGUACCUAAAGGAUUUCGUAUGCUAUUUAGCGGAAGAAGAAGGUGAGCGUCUUUUGUUGUCCAUGAACGAGGAACCGUGGGAUUAUUAGGAGGCCAAAGAACUGAAGGUAUGGAGAGAUGCUUGCGAAGAAGAAAUAGCAUCCAUUACCAAAAACAAAACGUGGACUUUAGUUGAUCUUCCUCAAGGUGCAAAAGCAAUCGGACUCAAGUGGGUCUUUAAGAUCAAACGAAAUUCGGAUGGAAGCAUCAACAAAUACAAGUCAAGACUCGUCGCAAAGGGGUAUGUGCAGAGGUUUGGCAUCGACUUUGAUGAGGUAUUUGCUCCAGUUGCUCGCAUUGAAACUAUUCGGUUCAUCAUUGCCUUACCUGCCUCUAACAAGUGGGAAGUACAUCAUCUUGAUGUUAAAACCGCUUUCUUACAUGGAGAGCUUAAGGAGGUUUAUGUGACAAAACCAGAAGGUUUCAUGAUCAAAGGGAAUGAAAAUAAAGUAUAUAAGUUGCAUAAAGCUCUUUAUGGAUUAAGGCAAGCUCCAAGAGCUUGGAAUAACAAGUUGAAUGAAAUUCUCAGAGGUUUGAAUUUCAUAAAGUGCUCCAAGGAACCCUCACUAUAUCGAAAACAGAGAAAAGAAGAUCUUCUGCUGGUAGCGGUUUAUGUCGAUGACUUACUUGUUACAGGAACAAGUUUGAACUUAAUACAUGAGUUUAAAAAGGAGAUGUCAGAAAAGUUUGAGAUGAGCGAUUUAGGAAGAUUGACUUACUACCUCGGAAUUGAGGUGUUACAGCGAGAAGGCAGUAUCACCUUAAAUCAAGAAAGGUAUGCUAAGAGAAUCCUUGAAGAGAAUGGCUUGGAUGAUUGCAAUGCAGUUCAUACACCAAUGGAAUCAGGUUUGAAACUGAGCAAAGCACCUGAAGAGAAGAGCAUCGACGAAAAAGAAUACAGAAGAAACGUGGGAUGCCUCAGAUACUUACUUCACACUCGACCAGACAUGGCGUUUUCAGUUGGAGUACUAAGUCGAUACAUGCAGGAACCAAAGGAGUCCAUGGCGCUGCAAUGAAACAAAUCUUAAGGUACUUGCGAGGUACUCUAAACUAUGGUUUAACCUUCGGCAAAGCAGAUGUGAAUGGAUUGGUUGGGUUCAGUGAUAGUAGUUACAAUGUUGACAUCGACGAUGGCAAGAGUACCUCAGGUCACGUCUUUUGUUUGAACAAUUGUCCGAUUACCUGGUGUUCUCAGAAGCAAGAGACUGUUGCAUUAUCUUCAUGUGAGGCUGAGUUUAUGGCAGCUACAGAAGCAGCCAAACAAGCGAUAUGGCUUCAAGAGUUACUCGGUGAGGUCACAGGAACAGAAUGCGAGAAGGCAAAUGUGUGUAUAGAUAACAAAUCAGCAAUAGUUUUGACAAGAAAUCCAUUAUUUCAUGGGAGAAGCAAGCAUAUACACCGGAGGUACCAUUUUAUACGAGAAUGUGUUGAGAAUGAACAGAUUCUUGUCGAGCAUGUUCCUGGAACUGAGCAGAAGGCUGAUAUUCUGACAAAGGCACUUGGAAGGAUUGAAUUCAAAGAGAUGAGAGAUCUCAUAGGAGUGCAGAUAGUAUCUAAAGAAUAUUUCAAGUUUAAAGGGGAGAAUGUUAGAGUAAACUUGAAAAGCAAGUUAUCCAAUUCCUAACUAAGUUGUGUUUAGGAAUAAUAAGUGAUUUUAGGAAAUAUUCUAUUUUGUAGUUCUAUUAGGUUUAGGAGUUAUCUAUUCCUAUAUAAGGAGUUGCUAAAGUUGUAGCAUCCCUUAAGAGAUUGUGAGCUUUAGUUUUGAGUUAUUUUCUAAAGCAACAAGAAAAGAAGUUAUUUUGGUGAUCUUAUUAUCUAAGGCAUUCGAAUAAUAAAGACUGAGUCCCCGUAUGCGCGUGUUUUUUAGUUGGUCUGAAUUGUUGGGAUGGAUGCAACACAGCUCAAAAUCAGCGGAAUAAUGUCAUCAUAACCAACAAUCUUGUCCUCCAGUUGAUAAUCUUCAAGAGCUUAGAGCGUGACAUUCGAAACAUUAUCUCCUCGAGGAUACAUUGACGAAACUGUGGCGAUGUUAUGACUCUCUGGAUCCGGUGACUCAAACCAAAUUUAACUCAAGUCUUUGCUGUCUUGUUUUUUUAUUACUUUUUGCCAAGACACCAAAUCAUAUAGGCUCUGCUCAUUGUAAAUCCUAAAAUUUUUAUAAUUAAUGAUAUUUACUGUUUAGUAAAAAAAAAAAAUUAUUUAUCCUGAUUUUUUUCGGUGUAGAAUUCAUGGAUGAAUCUAUCAUGGACUCUUUCCGGUGUAGAAUUCACCAGUUCUAUACCGGACUCUUUCGCUACAACGUACCAAGAGUAUCGAGGCUGCGGCUCUACAAGACCUCUGCCUAAGGCAACAAUCAGAUUCCCCUAUAUCCACUAUAUAGAUUCAUGGAUGAAUCCAUCAUGGCAUUGAUAUUAUUUGCUAUAAUUUACAACCAAGUUUGGAUUAUUAUUUUUUUUUAAUGAUUAGAAGGUUUUCUUUGAGUUAGGAUGAUUAUUAUUCAUGGCAGCGCCGACACGUUUUAUUUUAACUCAAAUUCCUUCGAACCCAAUUUCUGAGUUUACUAUUCAAAUUCGUUUAGAUAAAAUGUUAAGCUUCAUCGUAGAAAUUAAGACAAAUGUUUUAUAUUAUUUACAACAAAUUUAGAAAAUGUUAUGUGCGUGUGUGCUUAGUUAUUUUUAAGCACUAUAGCUUUUGUUAUUUGUUUAAUAUUGGGUACGGUAUGUUGGAAAUUUUUGACAAGUAACCAUCAUAAACUGAUAACUACUUAAACUUAUGAGCUGGAUAACUCGAAUACGAAACGAGCCAGGAAAUCCGUUCCAAAUUGGACAACCCUAUAAAAUACAUAAUUCUUUUGAUUGUCAUUUUUCAAAUUAUGUAUGUCAACUAAAAUUUUUCUCUAUUUUGAAUUAGAAGAUAUAUUUAAAUCUAUUAUAUAAAGACUCAGUUGAGUCUCACAAACUUGACACAUCAGCACUCCUUUGAAUGACACAUCAGCUCAUUUAUUUUUUAUUUAAAAACUUUAGUGAAACUCUAAUUAAUUUAAGCUAAUUACUUUUAUGUUCAUUUUUCUGUGCACUGAUUUAUUUACCAUCAUGGCCUCAUGGCUUUUUGACUUCCAUUUUGAUGCUUCCUAUUCUUAAUGAUGUUUCAAACGUUGUCUUAAAUAUUGGUCACUCAUGUUUCAACGCAUAAAAAUAAUCAGCAAAUAUAGAGGAGCAGACAUGGAAAGAAGUAAAUAUUACCUAAGAUUUUCUAAUAAAUCUCUAAUCUACAGCUUCCACGUUGUAACUUAUGCAAAUUUCUAUAUAGAAGCUUACUAAAGUGAAUGUUGUUCACAAAUCCACGGUCUAAGAUUUAUUUCUUGGUCAUGGGCAGAGACAUCUACAUUUAAUACCAUCGUUUGUGUUCAUUUAAAGGAAAAGAAAAUUUUGCUUUUAAAAAGAAGAUUUUGUAUGAUGGUUUCGAGAAUUCUGUGAAGAGUAAAUAGCAAGACAAAGCUAUAAUAAUAAUUUCUAAAAUAAUAAUAAUUCGGCGACGAAGCUAUAAUAAUAAUUUCUAAAAACUUUGUUUUAAGUUAAGCUGGUGUAAGUUAUCUAUUCUAUUUAUUUUUGUUUUAGAGAAAAUUUUAAGGGGGAAAAUAAUACUCUGAAAGACCUAUUACAUCUAUUAGUAAAUUUUUUAAUAUCUAUGUUUUUAUAAAAAAUGAUAAAAAUCUCGUCUCAAUGAAUUAUAAUUAAAGAAAUCUUUGUGGAGAAAAGAUAAAUAUAAGUUAUAUCAUUUUAUGUGCAUGAAAUGUAGCUUGUUUCAUCUCCAUCAGAUCUUGGAGUUGGAGUAUUGGUUCUCCCAAGUACUGCAAUAAAAAGCCACUGGAGCGGCAAAAGCCAAAUCCGAUGGUGAAAAUGGAGAAAGACGUAUUUGGUAAGCUUUUACAAUAACUGGUCAUGUUUAUCUAAAGUUCCAAACUCUACCUGUGAUGCAAAAGAUAAUAUAUAGUAUGAAAUAUCACAGAUUUUCAUGCUAUAUUCAUUUCCUAACUUUUCUAAUUUUAGUGGAGAUUGUGACGGUUAUGCCAAUGAGAAUAUGAAAAUUUUAUGGAAUAAAGUUAUCCAUUUAUUUUGAGAAUAUACCUUUUAGGUUCCUAAUCAUAAUAUUUAGUAUUUGCUGGAUUCUCAUAUCUUUGUUUAUAAUGUUCAAGAUAAUUUUUCACGUUUAAUUGAAGAAAACGUUUCUUAGUAGAGAAAAUUUCUGAUAAGAUUUCAUAAAACAAAAAAAAAAGUCGAGAAAAAACUAAUUAAAACAAAAUCACUUUAACAAAACAAGUUAACAACUAAUUUCUCUAAUUAAAUACAAAUUAGAGAGAUACCCAAACCGAAGAUAUCAAGUUUAUGUAAAUAAUAAUUUGUAGGUGGACACAAGCGCUUCUUGCUAGAAUGUUUGCCUUCGAAUUCUUCACGCGUGAAAUGUGUGAUAUAGUGAAGGAAUUGUAAACUGAAAUUUAAAGAUAAAACUAAACUUCAGUUUUAAAUAUUACACGCAUAUGCGUGGGUACUCAUCUAGUCUAUUAUAUAAAGAGUGGGUUGUGUCUCACAAACUUGACACAUCAGCUCUUCUCAUUAUGACACAUCAACUUUGAAUUUAAGUAUUUACACCAAUAUUUUUUUUUAACAAUCCCAGAAAUCAAAAAAGAAAGAAAUGUCCAUUUUUGGUCAAUAACACUCAUUAUUAUCUCAUUAAUCUUAUUCCUAGAAGUUGGAAAGAUGGAAUAAAAUGGUUAUCAUGGUGAUAGUUUUUAAAUUUGAUUAUUACGGUGAUAAUUUUUAUAAAGAUAGUAAACUUCAUCUAAUGAAAUAACUUGGUAAAACUGAGAUGAUUAAUUUGCUGUGAAUUAUUUACUAUCCUUAUAAUUGUAAUCUCUUAACAAAAUAGAGAUGUGACUUAUUUACUAACUAAAAAAAUUAUUUAUGAACUAAAAUAGAGAAUCAGAAAUAAACUAUUUAAAGCUUUAUUAAAAAAAUUUUCGGCUAAUUAUAUGAUUAUUUUUAGACAUAACCAGUUGGAAUGAUUGAUAAACCUUUUAUAUUUUUAAAGUUAAAAAUGUUACAACUACAAUCACAGAUGUAACUAUGUAAGUAACCAUUUUGGGAACAAAUUUUAAUACAAUUAAAAUUUACAGUUAUCUUACUAUAUUUUCAUGUAUUGUAUAGUUUUUCCAGAGGAAUUUUAUAAUUGUAGGGUUUGGAAUUUUAAUAUGUUUUUUUUAAUUCAAAUGUUUCUUCGUCUAAAGUCAUUGAUUUGAGUUUGUUAUAUGCCAAUUUUCAGUACCUAAGUUUUCUACUUCUACGGAAAUCAUCCCAACAAAUGAAAAGAUGUCAAGAAAAUGGAAAUGUGUGACCAAAGCCUUGAAAAUAUUUUAAAAUCAUGCAAAUUUUCUUACCAGAUAGCAUAUGGUUAUGGAACUAUAGAAUCAUAAGACGUCAUUUUGAGAAAACUUGGGCUAAUGGUUUUUGAAUCUGAACUCAACUGCAUCAAUAAGACUGAUGCUGCGCUUAUUGAAAGUGUGAAGAUUGUGAUUUAAAACCAGGCGGAGAUGCUCAAAGUUGACAUGUUUCUGAUUCCCACAAGAGUAUUGGUGGCUCUUUAGGCAAAAAAAAAUCAAGGAUGGAGAGUUCCAUUUGUUGUUUAGAGGAGACAAUGCUAAUGUUAUCUGUUACUUGACACUCAAGUUGGUAAGAUUUCACUCUUUUACCGUUUGUAAAGACUGCCCCAAAGUAGACGGCAAUGCGUAUUAAAUUGAAGGUUGUUCCAUCUUUUUUUUUCAGGAAUAACAGAGUAGAAGGCGGUGAUAUCACCACACCAACGGUAGUUUCUGUGUAGUUCAAUGCAUAAAAUCAGAAGGAUACAAAGAGGUUCUUGGGUUUAUACAUAUGUGGUGAAGAUUAUGUGGUCAAUGGAAAAAUUGCUUCUAGGAAAAUUAAGAGAGAAAAGUACUAGCUAUUAAUAAGGUACUUCAUUAUCUCUACUGUCAUUAUUAUUUUUUUGCUGCAUUUUUAAAAAUUUGUGUAAAGAGAAAAAUAUAAGAAGUAAAUGGCAAAGAGAGAGUCAAAAUUUACAGAUAAUAUACCAAGGAGAUAGGCUAACAAAAAAAAAAAGAGAGCGAAAGAUAUUGCUCUCUCCUCUAAGAUGUACAAGAAGUUUUCAUGUAUAUGUUUGAUUUUUUUAAGGAACAAAUAAUUAAAGAAUUUAGGUUCUUAUAAUUAUAAUUAGAGUAAACGAAAAGUGUUUUACAUUUAAAAAUUUUAAGUAAAAGAGAGUAAAAAACUAUUAUGGGAAGUUUACAAAAAAGUUGAAUAAACAGAAAUACUCAGAAAAUAUAAGAAAAAGUUAUAACAAAUCACAUUACUCUAAAUAGUAAAAACAUUUUGUCACUCAUCGAAUAACCAAUCCUCUAUCUUGAAUUAGGUUAUAUUUGUUAAAGUAUAUUUCUUACCAAUCAAAAUUUAACUCCUAAACACUAAAUAUAUAUGAAAUUUAUCUUAUUAUAUUUAACACAACUUAAAAAAUCUAAAUAAUAUAUAAACCCGCGUGUACAGGGAUAUACAUCUAGUUAGAGGUAAAAGUAGUGCAUAUGCGAGUGCUAAAUGAGUGGAAUGAAGUACAUCGAACCUUAGUUAUAAGUAACUAUAGAUGAUUAAUUUAAUAUCUUAGACGUCGAUAUCAAAUUAAAAGGAAAAUUUCUUAAAAAUCAAAAUCUUUAAACAACAAGGUCCCCAUUUAUAUAUUCAGAGGUUAUAUGACUAUAAAUGUCUUGGUCUUUUAAGACAUCUCAAAGGGCAAAUGAUCAAAUUACCGAGAGAAUUACAAAAUAGACAUGGCAUAGCUAGAUCGGCAAAUCAAUCAAGGUACUCAUGAGUCACGACUCAUCUUUCAAAAGAAAACAAAGCGGAAACAACUUUUACAAAAUGGUUUUUCUCCUCAAAAGCGAUACAGAAAUAAUCAAUCAUUGAGAGAGAAACAGUGAUGAGGUGUUAGAAAAUGUGGAAGAGGCAAUGCGUCAUAUAUUAUGCUCGUUGGUAAAGUUAAAAAACAGUCGAAAUCGUUUUCUCAAGAACCACUUUUUCUCUUUAAUUUGGGCGGUGCAAUUUGUUCCUCCUUUUUAUGGAAUGUGAAAACACCACAUAAUGAAGUCGAAUUUGCAAAUUUAGGCGGAAUUUGUCUUAUUGAUAUAGCAAAAAAAAAUGAUUAAUAUCAAUAAGAUAUCAAUGAGUCUAGUUUAUUUUUACGAACUGUUGAAAAAUAACUUAUAUGACCAGGAUAUGUAUAUAGCCUUAUAGUUUCUGUUAAUAUCAUCAGUGUGUCCCUACCUGGAUUCAAAUCCGUAUUAUGUAUGUUGUUAAGAAAAAAAAAAUCAUAAAUUUUGUUCGACAAAAGUUAAGUAUCAACAUGAUGAAAUAUGGACAGAUUAUAUUGGAUUUAUUAUUUUAAACUUGUUGAUACAUACAAGAAUGAUUUGAUGUCAAGAAUUGUUGUAAAAUAUAUUGGAAGUUACUACUAAAACUUAGUAAGUUGUUUAGUGAUAGGCGUCACCAUGUGAUAAGUAUAGUGGUUGACAAUUAUUAUAGAAAGGAAUCAUGAUAUGCAAACUUAAUUGCAUAUCAAAUCCAAGGUUGCUAAGAUAUUCUGAAUUCAUUGUCUCAUAUAAGCUCAAAUUUAAAAUAAAAAAUAAUGUUAUGUUUAAAUGUAGAGACUGAUAAAUAUUUAAAACUCUUCCCUAUUGAUUAAUGAAUAUGAUCAUAUUUGGUAUGUCGAAUCAGGUUAUGAAUACGACUAAUCAUAGCAAGGAAUAAAUUGGGAUAUACAGUAUACUAAAUAAAUCAGUAGCAGACAACAGAAUUUUCCAAGACAGAGAGGAAAAUUUGACUCUACUCUUAAAAAAUUCAGAAUAUUCAAACAAACAAGAAAAUCCCUAGUUUGCUCUGUUUCAGACAACUCUCAACAUGUUUAGGUCAUUUUGUUUGACCUUUCUAGAUCCCAAAAUGAGACGACAUGUGAAUUCUCAACAAUAUUAUUACCAUCAUCUAGGAGAUUAAAUGAACAUUGGUGAAGUUACAGAGAGAGAGAGAGAGAGAGAGGUUUAAACAUUUUUCCUUCUAAAAAAAAAGAUCUAAAUUAACAAUUCUGUUUUCUUCUUUCAGUGUUUGUCGUUGGAACUUCUGUUGAUGGACAAAAACUUGCUGAACAUCUUCUUAGGCCGACCUGGAAUUGCACAGAAAGCCUUAAACCGAGAUGGAGUCCUUCCUCCUCCGUCUUGAUUCAUAAACCUUUCGUCUAACUCUUCAUCUUCAGCUAGCUUACUUCUCAGAGUCCCUGAGAGUUUUGAUUUGGGAGAUUUGAGACCAGAGACGCUCCAUUGAUCUUCCGGUGCUGCCAUGCUUGUAGUCGUGCUAAAAGCGGCUGCAUUUGGAUUAGAAGGGUCAAUUUUGUGUGCAGCGAGUAAUGCUUUGAUGUUGCUUGGAAGUUCUGUCAUUUUGCCUCCUUCACAGUUGGUCGUAGUAGCCGCAGCGGCUCGUGCCUGCUCAUAGAAGAGGACUUGGACCACUACUCUUAGAGGAAGCAUCUCGUUCUGCGCCGCGUGCAUGCAAGCUUCCAUUGACAGUUUCUUGCAGUUCAAGACUCUGCAAACUUUCUUCCUUUCUGAUUUAUUUAGAUUCUUGUGAGCCUGCAAGAACACAACAAGACAAACAAUGACUCUUGAAUGAUUGCUUAAAACUGAUACAAGGAUUAAGAACUGAGAGAUUAUUAUAUAUAGUUUACCUUGAGAUAUAUGUCAAUGGCUCUGUAGAGAUCAUCAUGAUCAAGUCUUGAAAAUUCAGGGACACUCUCAGCUAAAGUGACAAACUUUGAGAGUGGAAGAUUCACAUCUCUAGCAAUCUGUUGGAGAUAUCCAUCAACAAGCUUAGCCACUUUAAGCUUGGAGCUAUGAGAGGCAGAGGAAGAUCUCCUACUUUCUUGGAACUCAAGAUCUAUAUUCUCUGCCGAACGAGAUCUUCUUCUUCUAUCCAUCAUCAUUCCCUUUUUACCUCUUGGAGGACUUGUUGGUGGACUAGUCUGCCCUUGGACCAUAAACUGUUCCAAGAUAGUCGCAACAAUGUCCACAUCGUACAACAUUUCGGAUUUGUAGGACAUUGGUGGUAUUAACAAAUCACUAACCGUUGCUUCUUCUAACUGAAGAGCCACCCUUCUUGCUAAUUCCAUUUUAGAAGACGCUGAUGCGUUUAAGAUAUUAGCUGCUUUCAAGAGUUUAAGCAAGAAACUGCAAGAAACAGCGGUUUUCUCAGCAGGAAGCAAGCUUAUUAUGGAUUCCAACAACAGCCUAUGCUUCGAUGAAGACUCUGUAUCAGAAUCCGAGUCUGAAUCAGUUUUCUUGCCGACUAGUUUCCGGUUUCUUUGUAAAGUAGGAAGCCAUUUAGAAGCGUAAACUCGAAGGGCAUCACCUACAAGACUCGAGGGUACUUUGCCACCGGAUUUAAUAGCAAUCAUAGUCCUCCAAUAAAGAUCUAUCCCCAACUCUGCUAUAUCUUCAGCCCACCAUCCUCUGCUCGUAGCAGCGGCUCUGUUAGAGGACGUGUCAUCAUCCUUAACACGCCUAGAAUGGCUAUGUGAGAGAGACACUUUGGAUGGGUGAGACAAGACCUUAGAGGCUAUGGCUUCAAUGCAUCUACUUGUGAUAGCGAGAUCUUCAGACCACAAAGGAAAAGCUUUUGUGGUUUGGAGAGUGACUAUGGAGUCUCUCCAUCCGUUUAGGAUGCAGGAGUUGAAGAAAACUUCAAGCUUGUACACCAAGUUACCUUUCUCAACCUCCUCUGACAUUUGUAGAUACUCUGCUGCACAUCUUGCUGCUACGAUGUUGUAAGCGCUUAUGGUUAUUGUUAUUCCGUAGCAGAAUUUGGCACAGAGAUCAAAGGCUUCUACUCCUCCUGGAAAUUCUGGAAGUUGGAUGGAUUCUGGUGAUUCAGAGCAUAGUCUUUGAAGCCUUAAACAUUUGGAGAGUAGUGGAAACUGCAGACAAGAAGAAUACAAUCAAAUAAACUCUUAAAGUGAAGUAAUCAUCUCAAAGAAGAAGAAGAAGAAGAAGAAUGGGUACUUUGUGAAGAAGAUAUCUGCUUCCUGACACUUCGAUUGGGAAAUCACUGGAAACUUCAGAAGACACACAUCUGCAACAAGCAGCAAAUCAGCUUUUUACUCAAUAUUUAUGGCCAGAGACUUUUACUUGUUUUUUUUUACUACUUACCUUAAAUCUUCUGAAGUGUAGAAAGUGUCAGGACGAGAUCCAAGUUUCAUAAACUUCAUAGCUGAUUUAUGAUGUUUUAUUAGGUUCUUGAAUCUUCAGAAAAUCCUCUGCAUAAUGGCCAAACUCCAAAAGGGUUUCUUCUUCUAAGGCUCCAAUCUCUGAAGAACAGUUCCUUCCUCAAAAAAAAAAAGAGAGACAAAUUUCCUGUCUGCAAGUGAGACAAAACAGAUCAAAAUUUUGUCAAAGUUUUGUUCAUGUGAGAGAAUUAAAAAAACAAGAUUUUGUUUUUCUAUAGAGAAUUUGUCAUUGUGGUGAGUGAUUUAGUUGGAUAUAUAGAUAGAUGGAAAAAAGGAAAAUAUGUAAGAAAUAAAAGAGAAAAGAAAAACCCAGAAAAACUGAGGCCACUACUAAAGUUCAUGUCCAUUCAAUCAAAUUCCUUAUACCCAAUCUGAUAUGGACAUACAAACAAAAAGAAUCAAAAUCAAUGCAAUAAAAGAAAGAAAAAAAAAAGAUAAAAGGUAAAAGAUAGAAUUGGAUAUCCUAUCAACACAACAUUACACAUCACAACCCACCCAAAGUUCCAUCAAUCACAAAAGAUAACUAAACACCUUACUCCCAUAGCUCACACAUUAGAACAAGAAUGUUCUUCGAUUCCCAUGCAAUAAAACCAAACAUAUAUACAAGAAGAAAAGCUCACUUGGAUGAAAACAGAACAAACUUGAGGUUUCUUCUUUGUGUUAUGAGAAAGAAAAUGUUUUGAGCAAGGCAAUUUCCCAGAAAACCCUCUUCACCAAUCAUUCAAAGAUAAAAAGAGAGAAGCAAAAGAAAGCAGAGCAGAGCGAUCUACUUUUCAACUUUUUUUGUUUUCUUGUUUUAUGCAAAAAUUGGGAUUUUUAAUUUUAUAUUCAUUUGGUAGGGACUUUAUCUGAUAUUAUUAUUUUUUCCCUGAUGUUUUUUUUUUUUUUUGGGGGGUAAAAUAUGGUGAUUAGGCCAGUCACCAGCGUGCAAAGGAGAAUCACCAAUCCCACGUGCUCCUGCCUAUCCCACCUUCUCUGUUCCUCAUCAUUGUCUCUCCAUGUUUUUUUUUCACUCUUCUUAUUGUAAUUUUUUAUCUCUUUUUUCAUUCUUCCUCGACACAUCUUGAUUAUUAUUUAUUGUUUACAUUUUAAUUAUUAUUAUUAUUAUUAUUAUUUCCAUUCUUCACACACACACAAAACUAUAAGUUUUAGAUAUAUAGAUAACUCAACAGAACUCAAAUCCUUACUUUUCAAAAGAUUAAUCAUUGUGUUUUUUUUUUAAGUUUCACGUACGAGAUAAAUAUAAUUUCAUGCAAACAGAGAUGAUAACUAAUUAUUUUCCAUACCUAGAAGAAUAUAUAGUAGAAAGACUUAUGAAUAUUUUGAUAUAUCACUUAGAGUGAACAUUGUAUAUAUAUAUACAACGGGAUACAACCAAAUAACCAACUAUACAAAAAAACUUGAUAUAUAUAUAUUAGUAUGGUUAUAUAACGCAUAUAUUUUUGAAAAUGACAUGACAUAACUCUUGACAUUAAGUCAUUAACGUCUUUAUAAAAAAUAUUGACAUUAACGAGAGCGUAAAUUAAUAUAAUACUAUUGUUGGAUGAAAUUGCAUGGUCCACAUCGGUUUAUGUCCAAGUCAUACAUAGUAGGGGUAUUUUUUUUUGUUGUUAAAGUAGUAGGGAUUAAAAGUCAUUUACAUCUACUAAUUAACUUAUUUACAUUUAUGUUAUCGAUCUUACCUCUUAUAUACAUUAAAGAUUGUUGACAUUUCAUGUAACUACUAUUCUAUUUUUAUUAUUGAUAGUAAAAAAAGGGAUUAGAUCAUUUAAAGAAAGUUUGAUUUUUAAGCAGCUAUCUUGUCCAUACACCUCUUAUUAUCAAAGGGGUUAUAAUAUCAAAGUGCGACAAUGAAAUCGACAAUAACCUCUCUUUUUUCGCAUAGUCUUUAAUGAGUGUACACACUUUAUGAAGAAAGUAGGGGGAAAAAUAUGCAUUUCUGAAUAUUAUUUAUCACGAAGGAAAGGCAUAGAAUGAAUAACAAAUGUCUAAUUGUUUUCCUCAUCACAUCUUUAUAUUUCGAAUAUAAAAUGUAUAGGAAACAUCGAAUUUACCCAUCUAUGCUAACUAUUAACAGAGAAAAGUGGAGGCCUGCUAAUAGCAAAUCAUUGAAAGUAGAUUACUUUCCAAAGAAAGACAAAAUGUUAAACUUCAUCAUCUCUUUAUACAAAUAAUUUCUUUUUGACUGAAAUGAUGGAGUUUUACCCUCUUCUUUUGAAGCUGUUAAAAGAAACAAAUAUAUCCACAUAAUAUAAGCACUCCUAGAUUUAUGUGAAUUCUGGUCAAGACUAAAAGUUAGGGAGCCUAACAUUAACGAUAUAAUCUAGAGAAACAGGUCAUAUAUUUGAUGUUCUGAUCACUUUACCAGUUCUAGUGGAGUGUUCUCUAUGUUUCAAUUAAUUAUAAAAACAAUGAUGCAUCUGAUUAUACAUAAUAUCCAUACAUACACCUUUCCGUUUCCUUCAAUUCUUAUAAUAAAACGAACGGGAUAGCAAAAAUCAGUCAAUCAUCGAGGUUUCUAUUUCAUUAAAAUAAAAAGGCAGAGUAAUAAUAACAUACAUAUAUAUAUAUAGUCUCAAUCUUAGUAGAAGUCGUAGGUUUGAAGAAAGAUAUCUAUUUCAUUUUUUUUUUAAUCAAGCUUCCCCAUCACAUAACAUUUAUGGAAUGAUUUAAGAUCUCAACAAAAUCAUACUUUGGUACAAUGCCUCAACGGGUAAGAAGUCCUCAAUCAAAAGGAAUCAAGAGCAUAAUUAAACCAAAUUUUUAAAACUUUUUAGUUUUGUUUUAUAUAACAUAGUGGUUUGUAGUAGUGUUGUUGUUAAGUCACUGUCUAGACUCAAAUCCGAUAUAAUAUAAUUUAAGUUUCGUUGAAAAAAAGAGAAAAGAUGAAAGACUUACACAGUAAUCAGUAUGGAGAGAGAUGAUGCAGAAGAAGAAGAAGAAGAAGAAGGCUGCUCUUUGUUUUUAUUACCAAAUGAGGAGAACGUAUGUGUUGAACUGGAGCGUUAUUAACAAAGAAGAAGUAUAUAUAUAAAUUAUUGGAGUUUUUUGUCUUUACUAGAUCCAAAGAUGUAUAUUGUGACAUAUACGGCUUAAGUUAGAAAACAUAGAACUUAUGAUACAAACAACAAUGUCCCAUGACUUGUCAGAAUCGAGUACCUUCAAACUCCCAAACGAGCACCAGUGGUUGAGGGAACACAAACAUAAAACCCGUCACGGCUCUGGUCGGUAUUGUCUACCAAUGAGUGUGACGAGAGACUGUCUUGGAUCAAUCAGUGGCCACUUAAGGACGAAGGUCACAGGGGCCAGUGGCAGUGUCGUAAUUAAAACGGUUCGAGGAAGGGCGUUUUGGGAAGUGCAUGAGAAGUUCCUAUCCUGAUGUCAACUCUACGUGUGAAAGAAGAGGAAAAGGUUAUAAAAGAUUUAUGUAAAUUUAUUUUUAGAUUUUUGAAAUGUUAAUAAUGUAAUUGUAACCCUAGUGGGUGUCUAGCCGACAAUGACUGCUUUUGGUGGUCCCCUUUGGCUGUGGGACAUAUCUGUCCCGAUUUGAAGAUCCUCCACGAUUGGAGCUGAGCUGGAUUUUGUACUCGUUGUAAUAACCUUGUAUUUUAUUUAUUAAUGUUUUGGCCAAAAUUGAUGUCUUUCUUGUGAAGAAAUGAAUAAUAUGUGAUGAGUUCAAGUUGUUUGGAAGUAGGCCUGGGAUUUAAAAAUUUGUUUCGCUUCGGCUAUUAAAAUAUGUAAUCGUUCAGCGUAAAUUUCAGUUAUGUUCAAUUCUCGGUUCAAGAUCUAAACCAAACGAUUAACCGAAACAAAAACCCUACAAAUUAUUCAAAUGUUUUCUCCCCAAACUCUGAAGAAAAAGACUCAUUGAAUCUUCCCCAAACCUCAUGAUUCUUUUUUCCCGUAAUUAAAAUAUAUUGCAGCGAGAAAAGACUUGAAUUAAUUCGGGUUUGAAAUCAAACAAAGAAAGACAAACACAUGAUACAAAUGAUCACAUGACUCUUAUUUAAAUUUUAAUAAAUGGGCCUUAGACCUUUUUGUCAAUAAUGGGCAUUAGACCAUUUGAUGGAAGUUAAUUGAGUCCUUAAGGAGAUUAAAGCUUUUAACCUAUGUGUUUAUACUUUAUAGCCUUCUUGGAUUUUUUUUUUCAAUUAGAAAUAACAUGAUAACAUCAGAUGGCCCAAGGUCCAAAUGUUAAAGCAUAAAACAGUCACGUUUCCAUCACUUGCUUAUCCACUUCUUUAUAGGGAUCGAAUUCUCAAGAAAUGGAAAAGAUGAUAGAGCUUAAGUGACAAACCUUUUUACCACUUUGAGACUUUUUCUCUUCUUAAGCAAGAAAACAGUGGAAAGUUUACCUUAUCGGUAUCACAUACUACAUCAUUGGAACAUGUUUUGAUAUGUGACAAACAGGGCCAGCCCAACUCUAUUUGACUGUGAGGAAGAUGGGCUUCUAUCUUCACAUCUGGGCCUAUGAUUUGGGCUUGCUUUGUCAAAGUUUCAAAUGGAUCAAGAUUGAGUCCAAUAACAAAAGAGGAAGUCGUUGAUAAAACGGAAAGUACGCUACAAGGAAUAACGUCGGUUACGUAUUGCUAUAAAAGAAACAAAGACUUUGAAGCCAAACCCUAACACAAGAGAAGGAGUCAAAGAGCCGUGAGUACAAAGCUAAGAUACAGAGGGAGAGAGAGCAAUUGAGAGAAGAGGGAAUCCAAGAGAGCACCAAAAGAAGUUUGAGUCUUCUUUGUGUUGUGAUUCAAAUCUUCUCUUCGAUUGUUCUAAUCUGUGACUUGUACUUGAACACAAAGAGAGCGCCGGUUAGUGCGUUUGUGUAAUCUUUGAUUGAUAGUGAAAGUUGUGGAAGACGGUUCCCAUCCCAGACGUAGCGGUUCGAGGCCGUGAACUGGGUGAUCAAACUUUUGUGUUAUUUAAGUUUCUAAUCAUCUAAUAGAUCCUAAGAUCUAAGCACUCAGGAGAAGUUAAAAAUCCUUAAAUUGACGCCCAAAGCAAGAAAAAAUAUUUACCUUAAAAACACAUGUUGGAAAAUCGAAUCUGGAUUAUUUGAUAACAAAAAAAAUAAACAACCACUAGACUAUGAAGUAUUUUAGUAAAAUUUUGCUACUCUUAAUAUAUAUACUAAAUUUGGCGCCUAAAGCUAGGGUUUCAGCCGCUUUACCUCAGGGUCGGCCCUGGUGACAAAUAUAAACCUCAUGUUAAAGACGUCGCCAAAAUCUUGAGUUAAUUGAGAUAAAAUCCUUUAAAGACGUCGAUCAAACACAAUGAUGCUGUUUCAAAAACAACAUUGUGAAGCUAUUACAAAUCUAAUUUCAAACAGUUGAUUUCUUUGUUUCAACUGACUUCUUGAUCGUGAAAUGGAUGAGGAUAGCACAAUUCUUUUAAUUUUGGAAAGGCCAUUUUUUGCUAGUGGAAGUCUUAAUAGACAUGUCGAACAACAAUCAUGCGUACCAGACUUGGCCAUUCCUCCCUAACCGAGUAGAAUCAAAUCGACCCAAACUGAAAUAAUUUUGUUUGUCAGUUUUAAUUUCAGUAUUUUGUUUAAACCCAAAAACCAAACAAACCAAACAAACCAAUCCUGAACUAACCGAACUGACCUGAUUCCUAAUUUUUUAAAUUUAUUUUUUUCAAGAAGUAACUUUCCUUGAAAAUCAUGAAUUUGAAACAUAUCCAUCCCUGAGAUUCUGCUUCAACAACUAUGAAGACCUUAACUUUGUUAUAUAAAGAAGAAAAUUGUUUACAUCAGUACUUUCUACAUAAGUAUGCUGAAAGUUCAAGUUUUAAAUAAAUCUUUUAUAGUAAGAGAGUUUUUUCCUCUCUCUCUUCUCUCACUCCUAUCCUUCAGAGAGAGAGAGCACUUUUUCUCUCCAAAUCACCGAUCAUUUGAUCGGUUUCUUUUCCGUGUAAAUCGGAUAAUAAUCUUCCGACUUCGUUCGGAUAAUAAUCUUCCGACUUCGAUCGGAUUUUGCUUUCAGAUCCAAAUUAUGUUUCUUUCUUUCUUACUCUUUGAUUUUGGAUCUGAUUCUCCUCGCCUUAUGCGAGUUUUCGAUCUCUUUUCUGACUGCAUUAUCCUCUCGUCGGAAUCACCGUUGUUCUUUUAAGUUUUAUUUCAGGUUUCUUAUCUUGCUUGGAGUAAUAUCUUCGUCGUUUUCCUCUUGCUCAAGUCGGAGCAAUGGUGGACACAGUUCAGAUCAAUAGAGUGGAUCUGACGGCGACGGAGCUUCCUUGAAGUUUGAGAUUUGGAUGAAACUUAGAAGCUGCUGUAUAAUUCCAUCACGGAUUUUUCAUUCCGACAACUAUUUUCCGGGAAUUGAAGAUCGGCAGAAGGAUGGCAUCAAGAUACAGGAUCCAUAGCAGUGGACAUCGGAGAAUUGCCGGCGCCGCUGUUGCAUGACGGUGAUUAUAGAAGAUAGACACGUGGUAUAAAUUGAGAUGAAUAAUAAAGACACGUGUAAUCACCUCUCUUUGAUCUUACCUCUUAUGUAUAUGAUUGUGAGAGGCCCAAUGUUAGCCCGUCUAUUUCCUAUAUCUUUGUACCUAAUGUAAACCUUCUGUAAUAUUAGCCCAUGGGCUUAAUCAAUAUAAUCUGUUGUCGACAAAAAAAAAUAAAUCUUUUAUAGUAUUUUUUUUUUCUUACAGUGGAAGCCACGUGUAUGUGGGAAGAGAAAAGAGUGCCACAAGUGAUUCUUUUAGCCUUUUUCAACCUAAAAAAAAAAAGACGCGACAAAAGCUGUAAGUGGGGAGGGACUGAGUCAAGCCACAACGCGUGGAGUGAGAUGAUAGCUUCCCUACUCAAUACCAAAACGGAACGUUGAUACUUU
Molecule: long non-coding RNA, 34098 nt
Filed under: Eutrema salsugineum
Lineage: Eukaryota; Viridiplantae; Streptophyta; Magnoliopsida; Brassicales; Brassicaceae
Description: long non-coding RNA (ESAL_LNC000080)
Source: RNAcentral